This 388-nucleotide ribosomal RNA is filed under the name uncultured bacterium. Its description in RNAcentral is "bacterial SSU rRNA". It matches the Rfam family "Bacterial small subunit ribosomal RNA", at positions 30 to 418 of the family's 1533-position model. The record is from RNAcentral.
AUUGAACGCUGGCGGCAUGCCUUACACAUGCAAGUCGAACGGCAGCACGGACUUCGGUCUGGUGGCGAGUGGCGAACGGGUGAGUAAUAUAUCGGAACAUACCCUAGAGUGGGGGAUAACGUAGCGAAAGUUACGCUAAUACCGCAUACGAACUAAGGUUGAAAGCGGGGGAUCUUCGGACCUCGUGCUCAUGGAGUGGCCGAUAUCUGAUUAGCUAGUUGGUGAGGUAAAGGCUCACCAAGGCGACGAUCAGUAGCUGGUUUGAGAGAACGACCAGCCACACUGGAACUGAGACACGGUCCAGACUCCUACGGGAGGCAGCAGUGGGGAAUUUUGGACAAUGGGCGCAAGCCUGAUCCAGCAAUGCCGCGUGAGUGAAGAAGGCCUC